AUUGAACGCUGGCGGCAGGCCUAACACAUGCAAGUCGAGCGGAUGAAGGGAGCUUGCUCCUGGAUUCAGCGGCGGACGGGUGAGUAAUGCCUAGGAAUCUGCCUGGUAUUGGGGGAUAACGUCCUGAAACGGGCGCUAAUACCGCAUACGUCCUUAGGGAGAAAGUGGGGGAUCUUCGGACCUCACGCUAUCAGAUGAGCCUAGGUCGGAUUAGCUAGUUGGUGGGGUAAAGGCCUACCAAGGCUACGAUCCGUAACUGGUCUGAGAGGAUGAUCAGUCACACUGGAAGUGAGACACGGUCCAGACUACUACGGGAGGCAGCAGUGGGGAAUAUUGGACAAUGGGCGAAAGCAUGAUCCAGCCAUGCCGCGUGUGUGAAGAAGGUCUUCGGAUUGUAAAGCACUGUAAGUUGGGAGGAAGGGCAGUAAGUUAAUACCUUGCUGUUGUGACGUUACCAACAGAAUAAGCACCGGCUAACUACGUG
RNAcentral lists this ribosomal RNA (484 nucleotides) under uncultured bacterium. RNAcentral describes it as "partial 16S ribosomal RNA". It matches the Rfam family "Bacterial small subunit ribosomal RNA", at positions 30 to 507 of the family's 1533-position model. The record is from RNAcentral.